GAUGAACGCUGGCGGCGUGCCUAAUACAUGCAGGUCGAGCGAACAGACGAGGAGCUUGCUCCUUCGACGUUAGCGGCGGACGGGUGAGUAACACGUAGGUAACCUACCUAUAAGACUGGGAUAACUUCGGGAAACCGGAGCUGAUACCGGAUAAUAUUUCGAACCGCAUGGUUCGAUAGUGAAAGAUGGCUUUGCUAUCACUUAUAGAUGGACCUGCGCCGUAUUAGCUAGUUGGUAAGGUAACGGCUUACCAAGGCAACGAUACGUAGCCGACCUGAGAGGGUGAUCGGCCACACUGGAACUGAGACACGGUCCAGACUCCUACGGGAGGCAGCAGUAGGGAAUCUUCCGCAAUGGGCGAAAGCCUGACGGAGCAACGCCGCGUGAGUGAUGAAGGUCUUCGGAUCGUAAAACUCUGUUAUUAGGGAAGAACAAACGUGUAAGUAACUGUGCACGUCUUGACGGUACCUAAUCAGAAAGCCACGGCUAACUACGUG
RNAcentral lists this ribosomal RNA (497 nucleotides) under uncultured bacterium. Its description in RNAcentral is "partial 16S ribosomal RNA". It matches the Rfam family "Bacterial small subunit ribosomal RNA", at positions 28 to 507 of the family's 1533-position model. The record is from RNAcentral.